Molecule: ribosomal RNA, 447 nt
Filed under: uncultured bacterium
Lineage: Bacteria
Description: partial 16S ribosomal RNA
Rfam family: Bacterial small subunit ribosomal RNA
Source: RNAcentral
AACGAACGCUGGCGGCAGGCUUAACACAUGCAAGUCGAACGCCCCGCAAGGGGAGUGGCAGACGGGUGAGUAACGCGUGGGAAUCUACCGUGCCCUACGGAACAACAGUUGGAAACGACUGCUAAUACCGUAUACGCCCUACGGGGGAAAGAUUUAUCGGGGUAUGAUGAGCCCGCGUUGGAUUAGCUAGUUGGUGGGGUAAAGGCCUACCAAGGCGACGAUCCAUAGCUGGUCUGAGAGGAUGAUCAGCCACAUUGGGACUGAGACACGGCCCAAACUCCUACGGGAGGCAGCAGUGGGGAAUAUUGGACAAUGGGCGCAAGCCUGAUCCAGCCAUGCCGCGUGAGUGAUGAAGGUCUUAGGAUUGUAAAGCUCUUUCACCGACGAAGAUAAUGACGGUAGUCGGAGAAGAAGCCCCGGCUAACUUCGUGCCAGCCGCCGCGGUAA